AUAUUAGCAAACCUGGGGAAACUCAGCGACGCAAAGCUAUAGGGUCUAAAGCGAAAAGCAUGACAGCCAGUUGCCA
RNAcentral lists this non-coding RNA (76 nucleotides) under Emergencia timonensis. Its description in RNAcentral is "Cyclic di-GMP-I riboswitch". It matches the Rfam family "c-di-GMP-I riboswitch aptamer", at positions 12 to 85 of the family's 87-position model. From Rfam's summary of the family: GEMM was predicted in a large-scale screen for bacterial structured RNA regulatory elements. Genes associated with GEMM are involved in a diverse array of functions, including chemotaxis regulation, signal transduction, secretion and chitin. Lineage: Bacteria; Bacillati; Bacillota; Clostridia; Peptostreptococcales; Anaerovoracaceae. The record is from RNAcentral. RNAcentral also lists the same sequence under 1 other name.